RNAcentral lists this long non-coding RNA (679 nucleotides) under Amphimedon queenslandica. Its description in RNAcentral is "uncharacterized LOC109592523, transcript variant X1". The record is from RNAcentral. Lineage: Eukaryota; Metazoa; Porifera; Demospongiae; Haplosclerida; Niphatidae.
AACUGAUGAUGAUAAUGACAGAGAAGAAGGAAAGAAGAAACAAGAGGAGGAGGAGGGGGAGGGAAUUUCUGGUCCUACAACUAAGAAACCAAGUCAUCGCUGGCCAUGGGAAUUCAUGUUGUAAUAUGUAUGACAUAUGUGUACAUGUAAUUAGUAGGUUGUGUAUUUUGUGUUAAUUAGUUUUUACGUAAACAUAUGCUUUUAAUUAAUGUAUGAUCUCAUGUUCCUAUGGCCUUAUGCCCUCUUUUGUGUAACGUACAAUGAGCUGGACAGCUCUGUCCAGCUCAUGAGGACUCACUUGUCUACUCCAUAUGGACCCUGUGUACAAUAGUGUCCUUAUUUCUUUGUUAUGUUUUUGUAUUUAAGUUCUGUAAUCUUAGAGCAGUUUUAUUCUCUUUUUGUUGUAAAAGUAUCUUAACUUGAUCUCUGCUAAUCUUACUACAUGCAGCAACUCUAGCUAAUCGCUAUUGUAGUGCUGAUUCUCAAUAAUUCACACACUCAAAACUCAAGCAAGCAUUGACUGAAGUUAGUGUACUGUCUGAUGUUUUACAAAUUGUUCAUAAUCAUCAUCAAUACUUGUCACUGGAUCCAGUUUAUGUUAAUAAGAAAUACACAUUACCUCCUUCAUAUCAAUACCAAAUUAAAAAGAAGGCACUUGAUGUAGCUUCCAAGAUAUUAA